AAGGCUGUUCAACCAAAGCCUAAGGCUGCUGGUCGACCGGCUAAGACAGGGAAGGCCACUCCUACCAAGCCGAAGAAGGCUGUUCCAGUUGCUGCCAAGAAGCCGAAGAUUGUGAAAAAGGCGCCGUCAGUAAAGAAGGCCUCUGAUGUGAAGAAGGCCUAGGUGUAGAUCUGUUUGGGUUUUUUUUGGGGAUGGGCAGUGAGUUGUAUAUCUGACAGUGUUGUUGGGCGUUGGCGU
This 237-nucleotide unclassified non-coding RNA is filed under the name Hevea brasiliensis (rubber tree). Lineage: Eukaryota; Viridiplantae; Streptophyta; Magnoliopsida; Malpighiales; Euphorbiaceae. The record is from RNAcentral.